Molecule: long non-coding RNA, 1585 nt
Filed under: Mus musculus (house mouse)
Lineage: Eukaryota; Metazoa; Chordata; Mammalia; Rodentia; Muridae
Description: long non-coding RNA chr17:10350879-10352464
Source: RNAcentral
GAAUCCAAGUGUUUUUUUUUUUCUACUUGUUAAGUGGUUAAAAAAAACAAACAAACAAAACAAACAACAACCAAAACCAAAACCAAAAACCCAAGCAUCCUUAAGUGAUGAUAGGAUACAAACCAACCAUUUUAAACAGCACAGAGAACUAAUGAGAGGCCAAGACACCUUCCUCAGAGACUGUUGGAACAGAAUAUGCCACCAGACUCUACCAUGUUCCACAACUCUACGUGACCCACUGCUCCAGAGACAUUAGUCUGUCCUUCUGGGUGUGUUUCAGAAAGAAAGAAUUUGGCUAUCCCAGCCCAAGCAAAGGUACUGAUCACCCAGGAUACAGGCAUGGUCCCUCAGGGAACUGGAGAAGUCAUACAAGCCAGAGUCUAGGAAAAUGGUCCUCAGGAAAUCUGUGAACAGAGGCAGCCAAAGAAUUUGGUGGUUCCAAGGCUGGACAGCAAAUAGAAGGGAGUGAGCUGGGCAGGCAGAAGUUUGGAGAUGGGAUAAUCAGGCAGGGCUUCUCAACAUGUGUUUUGUUUGUUUGUUUGUUUGUUUGUUUGUUUUUUUUUUUUUUUUUGUCUAAGGACAUCCUUGCACUCUUUUUAUUUUCUAAUGCUCUGUAUGUGUUUGCAUGUGUGUUGUUCUGGUGCACACAUGCCACAGUUCACAGAUGGAAGUCAGAGGACACGGUUGAGAGCCAGUCUUUGCUUUCUACCGUCUUUGAGACCACCUGAUGUUCAGUGCCACAUAUACCAGGCUAUCUGGUCCAUGUAAGUUCCCAGGGAUUCUUCUAUCGCCACCUCCCAUCUCACCAUAGACACUCUGAGAUUAUAGAUGUGUGCCUAAACAUCUGACUUUAUGUGGGUUCUUGGGAUUUGAACUCUGGUCCCCAUGAUUGCAUGGGAAGCCCUUUACUCACUAAGCCGUCUUCCCAGCCCUAUGUCUUCCUUAUACUCUUAAAAGUUAUCUAGACCCCUGGAGAGGUGAGCUGAAUCUUCCAAUAUCAACCUUGUUAGAAAUUAAUCAGAUGUGUUCUAUACAGGAGCCUGCAUCCCACUGUCAGAAUAGUAAAAUUCCUUGUCUUCUCUAGAAAAUAGCUUUUCUGACUCUUGAUAGAGGAAAGAGACUAAGGUUAUCUCCCCAACAUUAGGAGUGAUUUUGGUCUUGGAGGCCCAUAGGACAGAUUUAGUCAGGAGUCCCAGACACACUAGGGACCUGCUGCCACAGUCACGUAGAGCUCCUAGGGCAUUAGCUCCCAGAGUCCGAAACUGGGCUCCACACUGGGGGAUGCUGCAGGUGUCUUAGCAACUCCAUAUCUUUCCUGAAGUGCUGUCCAAAGGAUUAGAGACAAGUCAGGCAAGAGCUCUUUAAACCACACCCAGAGUCUCUUAGAGAAUCUGGUUCCAUCAGAACUCCAGCUCAGGGGCUGGUGAGAUGGCUCAGUGGGUAAGAGCACCUGACUGCACUUCCGAAGGUCCAGAGUUCAAAUCCCAGCAACCACAUGGUGGCUCACAACCAUCCGUAACUGACUCCCUCUUCUGGAGGGUCUGAAGACAGCUACAGUGUAUUUACAUAAAAUAAUAAAUAAAUC